GUUUUAUGUAAUUUUUAAAGAAAUAUUUAUUUUCCUUCAAAUGUAUGGAUUAUUUUUCUGCUGUAUCAAGUGGGCAUGGAAACAAAGCAAAGUUGGGAAGUUUUCAGAUUUGAAUCUUUUUAAAGUCAAAAGAUUUACUUUUCUCAUAUGCAUUUGAUUCAUUUUUAAAAUUCUCUUUGAUUUAUUCUUUCACAGAAAAACAAAAUCAUCUGUAGUCUCCAGUGUUUUUCCACUGCAUUUACCAUCUUAUAACUUUCAUCCUUUUACCCUUUCUCUCUGGAUUUUAGUCUAGUUUAGCAAGUAUUUUUUUCUUACUAGGAGCAAGCUUUGUUUUUCUCUGCUGCCUGCAUUUUCCUGUGCCUAUUCUUGUGCGUGCUUGAUUUUUCUCCCAAAUUUUUGGUGAACUCCUUUGUAAAUGAAGAAGAAUGUCCCGUUUUUAUUAGGGUCAAUUCUUUAACUGUACAAAAUGUUCUUUCACUUCAAAGUGUACCAGAGCCCUUGGUGACAAGCUGGGGGACCGACAGUGGAUUAAAACAAUGUGGCCUGAAUCUUCUGUGUUCUCUCUCCUCCCUGCAAGCUUCAGCUUUUCAGAUAACAUCCCUGCCACAUUUCAGGAGAAGCUGGUCGGAGAGACAGCUGUGUUAGUUUGAGAAGAGUGGGUUACAUAAUUUUCCCUUACAGUCCCACAGCUACUACCUUGGAAGUGGAACAGGACAGCAAGUGCAGUGAUUGCCAUUUCUCCCAGUGCCUGCUCUGCCUGCAGCCUUCGCAACCUGAAGUUUGUGCUCAUGACAGAAUUGCCUACACUUUUCUGUACUAAUUUUUUUCUGAAAUGCAUGACUUUUUCAAGAAAGGAAUUACACUCCAGCUUCCAGCUCAGAUCAAUUAUUAAUGUGUUUGUCCGGAAUUCACCAAAGUGUGUGCUGUGUGGUUGAGACCACUUUUAGGUUUCAGAAACUAUAAAGAUUUUUUUUAACCUCUUGGGAUUUCUGACCAUUCUGCUAUUUAGACCAAAUGUUUCUUGGAAAUUACUUUCUUUCUUAUUUGGAAGUAUAGUCACAUUCCAACAAUGCUUAAAACAAUUUGGUAUAAAAUCUAGCAUUUUUUUUAUUGGGAUUGAAAAAUCCUCAGGAAUUUCAAUCACUCCUCCCAAUGAUCCUUCUUUUAUUUAAUAAAUUUUAUUUUAGAAUAGCUUUAGAUUUGCA
RNAcentral lists this long non-coding RNA (1205 nucleotides) under Oryctolagus cuniculus (rabbit). RNAcentral describes it as "lncRNA (ENSOCUG00000032353.1)". The record is from RNAcentral. Lineage: Eukaryota; Metazoa; Chordata; Mammalia; Lagomorpha; Leporidae.